UAAUAAGUGUUUUAUGGCACUUUUUAAAUCCAUAUCCACCUUGUGUGCAAUGUCAGUCGAUCUUCUUUUAUGGAGAUCGACCAAACAUCAACCUUUAUCUUUUAACUCUUUGUCUGAAAAAUAUUACUGAAUAAACAAUUCAAAAUA
This 147-nucleotide unclassified non-coding RNA is filed under the name soil metagenome. RNAcentral describes it as "partial internal transcribed spacer 1". The record is from RNAcentral.